Molecule: ribosomal RNA, 468 nt
Filed under: uncultured bacterium
Lineage: Bacteria
Description: partial 16S ribosomal RNA
Rfam family: Bacterial small subunit ribosomal RNA
Source: RNAcentral
GACGAACGCUGGCGGCGUGCUUAACACAUGCAAGUCGAACGGAAAGGCUCCAGCUUGCUGGAGUACUCGAGUGGCGAACGGGUGAGUAACACGUGGGUAAUCUGCCCUGCACUCAGGGAUAAGCCCGGGAAACUGGGUCUAAUACUGGAUAUGACCUUUCUCCUCAUGGUGUUUGGUGGAAAGUUUUUGCGUUUAGGGAUGGCCCGCCGGCUUAUCAGCUUGUUGGUGGGGUAUUGGCUUACCAAGGCAACGACGGGUAGCCGGCCUGAGAGGGUGAUCGGCCACAUUGGGACUGAGAUACGGCCCAGACUCCUACGGGAGGCAGCAGUGGGGAAUAUUGCACAAUGGGCGGAAGCCUGAUGCAGCGACGCCGCGUGAGGGAUGACGGCCUUCGGGUUGUAAACCUCUUUCAGCAGUGACGAAGCGUAAGUGACGGUACCUGCAGAAGAAGCACCGGCUAACUAUGUG